Molecule: ribosomal RNA, 468 nt
Filed under: uncultured bacterium
Lineage: Bacteria
Description: partial 16S ribosomal RNA
Rfam family: Bacterial small subunit ribosomal RNA
Source: RNAcentral
GACGAACGCUGGCGGCGUGCUUAACACAUGCAAGUCGAACGGAAAGGCCCUGCUUUUGUGGGGUGCUCGAGUGGCGAACGGGUGAGUAACACGUGAGUAACCUGCCCUUGACUUUGGGAUAACUUCAGGAAACUGGGGCUAAUACCGGAUAGGAGCUCCUGCUGCAUGGUGGGGGUUGGAAAGUUUCGGCGGUUGGGGAUGGACUCGCGGCUCAUCAGCUUGUUGGUGGGGUAGUGGCUUACCAAGGCUUUGACGGGUAGCCGGCCUGAGCGGGUGACCGGCCACAUUGGGACUGAGAUACGGCCCAGACUCCUACGGGAGGCAGCAGUGGGGAAUAUUGCACAAUGGGCGGAAGCCUGACGCAGCAACGCCGCGUGCGGGAUGACGGCCUUCGGGUUGUAAACCGCUUUCGCCUGUGACGAAGCGUGAGUGACGGUAAUGGGUAAAGAAGCACCGGCUAACUACGUG